This 600-nucleotide ribosomal RNA is filed under the name uncultured bacterium. Its description in RNAcentral is "bacterial SSU rRNA". It matches the Rfam family "Bacterial small subunit ribosomal RNA", at positions 43 to 658 of the family's 1533-position model. The record is from RNAcentral.
UAGGCCUAACACAUGCAAGUCGAACGAGGCAGCGGCCUUCGGGCCGUUGUCGAGUGGCGAACGGGUGAGUAACACGUGAGAAACCUGCCCCGGAGACCGGGACAACCAGGGGAAACUCUGGCUAAUACCGGAUGCCCUCGGAUGGUCGCAUGGCCGACCGAGGAAAUGCUCUGGUGCUCCGGGAGGGUCUCGCGGCCUAUCAGCUAGUUGGCGGGGUAACGGCCCACCAAGGCAUCGACGGGUAGCUGGUCUGAGAGGACGAUCAGCCACACUGGGACUGAGACACGGCCCAGACUCCUACGGGAGGCAGCAGUGGGGAAUAUUGCGCAAUGGGCGAAAGCCUGACGCAGCAACGCCGCGUGGGGGAUGAAGGCCUUCGGGUUGUAAACCCCUUUCAGCAGGGACGAAAAUGACGGUACCUGCAGAAGAAGCCCCGGCCAACUACGUGCCAGCAGCCGCGGUAACACGUAGGGGGCAAGCGUUGUCCGGAUUUAUUGGGCGUAAAGAGCUCGUAGGCGGUUGCGUAAGUCGGAUGUGAAAACUCAGGGCUCAACCCGGAGACGCCAUUCGAUACUGCGCUGACUAGAGUCCGGUAGGGGA